UAUUGAGCUACUUGUCCAGUGGCAAACAUUUAGGUCUGUUGAUAACCAUUUCUACUCCUUGAGCAGGCGUCGCACUUGAUCUAUUGAAGCGCUAUCCUGCUUUAGCACGCAGAAGAGACUAUAGAGGAGAUUCUUCUUUGGACAUACUGGCUGAAAAGCCUCAGGCAUUCGCAAGUGAAAGUCGGCUUGGAUUUUUCCAACG
RNAcentral lists this unclassified non-coding RNA (202 nucleotides) under Hevea brasiliensis (rubber tree). Lineage: Eukaryota; Viridiplantae; Streptophyta; Magnoliopsida; Malpighiales; Euphorbiaceae. The record is from RNAcentral.